AAAUUGAAGAGUUUGAUCAUGGCUCAGAUUGAACGCUGGCGGCAGGCCUAACACAUGCAAGUCGAGCGGAAACGAGUUAUCUGAACCUUCGGGGAACGAUAACGGCGUCGAGCGGCGGACGGGUGAGUAAUGCCUAGGAAAUUGCCCUGAUGUGGGGGAUAACCAUUGGAAACGAUGGCUAAUACCGCAUAAUGCCUACGGGCCAAAGAGGGGGACCUUCGGGCCUCUCGCGUCAGGAUAUGCCUAGGUGGGAUUAGCUAGUUGGUGAGGUAAGGGCUCACCAAGGCAACGAUCCCUAGCUGGUCUGAGAGGAUGAUCAGCCACACUGGAACUGAGACACGGUCCAGACUCCUACGGGAGGCAGCAGUGGGGAAUAUUGCACAAUGGGCGCAAGCCUGAUGCAGCCAUGCCGCGUGUGUGAAGAAGGCCUUCGGGUUGUAAAG
Molecule: ribosomal RNA, 443 nt
Filed under: Vibrio alginolyticus
Lineage: Bacteria; Pseudomonadati; Pseudomonadota; Gammaproteobacteria; Vibrionales; Vibrionaceae
Description: bacterial SSU rRNA
Rfam family: Bacterial small subunit ribosomal RNA
Source: RNAcentral